GGGGAACCCUGACGCAGCGACGCCGCGUGCGGGACGGAGGCCUUUGGGUCGUAAACCCCUUUCAGCAGGGAAGAGUCAAGACUGUACCUGCAGAAGAAGCCCCGGCUAACUACGUGCCAGCAGCCGCGGUAAUACGUAGGGGGCGAGCGUUAUCCGGAUUCAUUGGGCGUAAAGCGCGCGUAGGCGGCCCGGCAGGCCGGGGGUCGAAGCGGGGGGCUCAACCCCCCGAAGCCCCCGGAACCUCCGCGGCUUGGGUCCGGUAGGGGAGGGUGGAACACCCGGUGUAGCGGUGGAAUGCGCAGAUAUCGGGUGGAACACCGGUGGCGAAGGCGGCCCUCUGGGCCGAGACCGACGCUGAGGCGCGAAAGCUGGGGGAGCGAACAGGAUUAGAUACCCUGGUAGUCCCAGCCGUAAACGAUGGACGCUAGGUGUGGGGGGACGAUCCCCCCGUGCCGCAGCCAACGCAUUAAGCGUCCCGCCUGGGGAGUACGGCCGCAAGGCUAAAACUCAAAGGAAUUGACGGGGGCCCGCACAAGCAGCGGAGCAUGUGGCUUAAUUCGAAGCAACGCGAAGAACCUUACCAGGGCUUGACAUAUGGGUGAAGCGGGGGAGACCCCGUGGCCGAGAGGAGCCCAUACAGGUGGUGCAUGGCUGUCGUCAGCUCGUGUCGUGAGAUGUUGGGUUAAGUCCCGCAACGAGCGCAACCCCCGCCGCGUGUUGCCAUCGGGUGAUGCCGGGAACCCACGCGGGACCGCCGCCGUCAAGGCGGAGGAGGGCGGGGACGACGUCAAGUCAUCAUGCCCCUUAUGCCCUGGGCUGCACACGUGCUACAAUGGCCGGUACAGAGGGAUGCCACCCCGCGAGGGGGAGCGGAUCCCGGAAAGCCGGCCCCAGUUCGGAUUGGGGGCUGCAACCCGCCCCCAUGAAGUCGGAGUUGCUAGUAAUCGCGGAUCAGCAUGCCGCGGUGAAUGCGUUCCCGGGCCUUGCACACACCGCCCGUCA
Molecule: ribosomal RNA, 1002 nt
Filed under: uncultured bacterium
Lineage: Bacteria
Description: bacterial SSU rRNA
Rfam family: Bacterial small subunit ribosomal RNA
Source: RNAcentral